Molecule: ribosomal RNA, 406 nt
Filed under: uncultured bacterium
Lineage: Bacteria
Description: partial 16S ribosomal RNA
Rfam family: Bacterial small subunit ribosomal RNA
Source: RNAcentral
AUUGAACGCUGGCGGCAGGCCUAACACAUGCAAGUCGAGCGAGCGGCGGACGGGUGAGUAAUGUCUGGGAAACUGCCUGAUGGAGGGGGAUCACUACUGGAAACGGUAGCUAAUAACGCAUACCAUCAGAUUUGCCCAGAUGGGAUUAGCUAGUAGGUGGGGUAACGGCUCACCUAGGCGACGAUCCCUAGCUGGUCUGAGAGGAUGACCAGCCACACUGGAACUGAGACACGGUCCAGACUCCGACGGGAGGCAGCAGUGGGGAAUAUUGGACAAUGGGCGAAAGCCUGAUGCAGCAAUGCCGCGUGUGUGAAGAAGGCCUUCGGGUUGUAAAGCACUUUCAGCGGGGAGGCGUUACCCGAAGAGGAAGCACCGGCUAACUCCGUGCCAGCCGCCGCGGUAAUUC